RNAcentral lists this ribosomal RNA (520 nucleotides) under uncultured Scutellospora. RNAcentral's name for it is "SSU rRNA". It matches the Rfam family "Eukaryotic small subunit ribosomal RNA", at positions 569 to 1091 of the family's 1831-position model. The record is from RNAcentral. Lineage: Eukaryota; Fungi; Glomeromycota; Glomeromycetes; Diversisporales; Gigasporaceae.
AGCAGCCGCGGUAAUUCCAGCUCCAAUAGCGUAUAUUAAAGUUGUUGCAGUUAAAAGGCUCGUAGUUGAAUUUCGGAGUUCUACCGUUGGUCAGGCUUUGUCUGUACUGACGUGUAGAAUUUCUACCUUCUGGGGAACCAUCAUGUUAUUAAUUUAGUGUGAUGGGAAACCAGGACCUUUACCUUGAAAAAAUUAGAGUGUUCAAAGCAGGCUUAUGUCUGAAUACAUUAGCAUGGAAUAAUAGAAUAGGACGGUGGUCCUGUUUUGUUGGUUUCUGAAUCACCGUAAUGAUUAAUAGGGAUAGUUGGGGGCAUUAGUAUUCAAUUGUCAGAGGUGAAAUUCUCGGAUUUAUUGAAGACUAACUACUAGCGAAAGCAUUUGCCAAGGAUGUUUUCAUUAAUCAAGAACGAAAGUUAGGGGAUCGAAGACGAUCAGAUACCGUCGUAGUCUUAACCAUAAACUAUGACCGACUAGGGAUCGGAUGAUGUUAAUUUUUUAAUGUACUCAUUCGGCGCCUACG